Long non-coding RNA from Rosa rugosa (rugosa rose), 616 nucleotides. RefSeq lists it as uncharacterized. NCBI's taxonomy places the organism in Eukaryota, Viridiplantae, Streptophyta, Magnoliopsida, Rosales, Rosaceae. The record is from RefSeq and is a predicted model, not a curated record. The transcript has 3 exons.
AAUCCCCAUUUGUGUUUCAGCUGCCUAGACAUCCGACGACAUUGCACCUGCAAUUUCACUCACAGAGAAUGCAUCAAAGCACUUCAAUAAGAUGAGAUCCAAACAUAAUGAGGAUCUAUGCCUGGGAAUUGGUGUUAAACAGGGUGGAUAUUCGGGCAUGUUGUAUACCAUGGACUUCUAUAGUAAAGAAAAUGCAAGACCAGAUGAUUCAACCAUUGAAUAUAAUGGUUUUAAGAUAGCAUCAUUUUCGAUUGACUGUCAAAGAAUGGAAGAAUUUAUGAGGAAGCUAGUACCAAGCAUUUGAAUGAAUAUGGAGAAGCUGGGUUGCGUACGUUGACGCUUGCUUAUAAAAAGCUUGAGGAGUCUGAGUAUUCUGCUUGGAACAAUGAAUUUCAAAAGCAAAAUCAUCUAUCGGGGCUGAUAGGGAGGUGAUGCUCGAGCGAGUAGCAGAGAAGAUGGAAAAAGACUUGAUCAUGGUUGGUGCUACAGCUGUGGAGGACAAAUUGCAAAAAAGGGCUGUGAUGGCCAGUGACUUUGCUAUUGCCCAGUUUCAGUUUUUGGAGAGACUUUUGGUUGUCCAUGGACAUUGGUGCUAUAAAAGGAUUGCUCAGAUGAU